RNAcentral lists this long non-coding RNA (372 nucleotides) under Nicotiana benthamiana. RNAcentral's name for it is "long non-coding RNA (NBEN_LNC032113)". Lineage: Eukaryota; Viridiplantae; Streptophyta; Magnoliopsida; Solanales; Solanaceae. The record is from RNAcentral.
CACCUCAACUACCGGUUCCUGGGUCUUUUCGUCUUCUUUCUCAACCUCAAUUUGUAUGUUAUGUUCUUCUUGGAUAGGUUGUACUGUCACCUCCGUCAGCUUCAUUGACUUAUCUAUCUCAAUGGGCACUAGUAUAAGUGUCUCAACCUGUCUACUUUCUUGGGCCCUGUCUUGCUCCAAGUCUAAGUCUUUGCCAAUACAUAGACUCACUGCCAUCAGCUGCUUCAGGCCUUGAUCUUUUGGAUUUACCUGUGUGUCUGCAGGCAAUGUCCCAUGAGGACGAUUGUUCAAGGACAUUGAAAUCUGGCCCAUCUCUACUUAAUAUUCUUAAUAGCUGAUUCAUGGGUUUUUCUUCAUUGGCCUUAUAUCCAC